UACGGAGGGAGCUAGCGUUGUUCGGAAUUACUGGGCGUAAAGCGCGCGUAGGCGGCUUUGUAAGUUAGAGGUGAAAGCCCGGGGCUCAACCCCGGAAUUGCCUUUAAGACUGCAUCGCUUGAAUCCGGGAGAGGUGAGUGGAAUUCCGAGUGUAGAGGUGAAAUUCGUAGAUAUUCGGAAGAACACCAGUGGCGAAGGCGGCUCACUGGACCGGAAUUGACGCUGAGGUGCGAAAGCGUGGGGAGCAAACAGG
This 253-nucleotide ribosomal RNA is filed under the name uncultured bacterium. RNAcentral describes it as "partial 16S ribosomal RNA". It matches the Rfam family "Bacterial small subunit ribosomal RNA", at positions 524 to 776 of the family's 1533-position model. The record is from RNAcentral.